CCGGGGCUUAGUGCCGGAGCUAACGCAAUAAGCGCUCCGCCUGGGGAGUACGACCGCAAGGUUGAAACUCAAAGGAAUUGACGGGGGCCCGCACAAGCGGUGGAGCAUGUGGUUUAAUUCGAAGCAACGCGAAGAACCUUACCAGGUCUUGACAUCCCGAUGCUAUUCUUAGAGAUAGGAAGUUACUUCGGUACAUCGGAGACAGGUGGUGCAUGGUUGUCGUCAGCUCGUGUCGUGAGAUGUUGGGUUAAGUCCCGCAACGAGCGCAACCCUUAUUGUUAGUUGCCAUCAUUAAGUUGGGCACUCUAGCGAGACUGCCGGUAAUAAACCGGAGGAAGGUGGGGAUGACGUCAAAUCAUCAUGCCCCUUAUGACCUGGGCUACACACGUGCUACAAUGGUCGGUACAACGAGUUGCGAGCCGGUGACGGCAAGCUAAUCUCUGAAAGCCGAUCUCAGUUCGGAUUGGAGGCUGCAACUCGCCUCCAUGAAGUCGGAAUCGCUAGUAAUCGCGGAUCAGCACGCCGCGGUGAAUACGUUCCCGGGCCUUGUACACACCGCCCGUCACACCACGAGAGUUUGUAACACCCGAAGUCGGUGAGGUAACCUUUUAGGGGCCAGCC
RNAcentral lists this ribosomal RNA (621 nucleotides) under uncultured bacterium. RNAcentral describes it as "bacterial SSU rRNA". It matches the Rfam family "Bacterial small subunit ribosomal RNA", at positions 833 to 1454 of the family's 1533-position model. The record is from RNAcentral.